RNAcentral lists this ribosomal RNA (468 nucleotides) under Enterobacter kobei. Its description in RNAcentral is "partial 23S ribosomal RNA". It matches the Rfam family "Bacterial large subunit ribosomal RNA", at positions 725 to 1191 of the family's 2925-position model. The record is from RNAcentral. Lineage: Bacteria; Pseudomonadati; Pseudomonadota; Gammaproteobacteria; Enterobacterales; Enterobacteriaceae.
GUGAUCUAGCCAUGGGCAGGUUGAAGGUUGGGUAACACUAACUGGAGGACCGAACCGACUAAUGUUGAAAAAUUAGCGGAUGACCUGUGGCUGGGGGUGAAAGGCCAAUCAAACCGGGAGAUAGCUGGUUCUCCCCGAAAGCUAUUUAGGUAGCGCCUCGUGAACUCAUCUUCGGGGGUAGAGCACUGUUUCGGCUAGGGGGCCAUCCCGGCUUACCAACCCGAUGCAAACUACGAAUACCGAAGAAUGUUAUCACGGGAGACACACGGCGGGUGCUAACGUCCGUCGUGAAGAGGGAAACAACCCAGACCGCCAGCUAAGGUCCCAAAGUCAUGGUUAAGUGGGAAACGAUGUGGGAAGGCACAGACAGCCAGGAUGUUGGCUUAGAAGCAGCCAUCAUUUAAAGAAAGCGUAAUAGCUCACUGGUCGAGUCGGCCUGCGCGGAAGAUGUAACGGGGCUAAACCAUG